CCGUGGCCGCGCCUCCGCCGCCCCGGGCGCUGCCGGCCGCGCGCCCCGGCAGGCCGGGGGCGGGAGGGCAGAGGGCGCCACCCUGUUUACAGCCUUAGCUCCCGGACGGAGACCCCGCCUGGUAACGGUCUCCCGGGAGCGGACCCUGGAGUGAGCACCACCCGCGGCCCUGCGUGGAAGGGGCCCAGCUCCAGGCCCGUUCGGAAUAAAACCGUCGCCACGGCUCUAGGGUCGAGCCCGCACGAGUCUCCGCUCUUCCAGCGCCCACCGCCCACGACUGUAUCGUGUCAGCCCCCGUCACGAGUCUGCUACGCACUUCGCUCCCACCUUUCAGCUCCGGCGCUUCCGCAGACCACCCUCACGUGGCCGCUCCCCCCUGCCAGGGCACUCCCCGGCAAAGGCUGCACUAAGGGGUCCCGGCCUGCUCGCCCCUCGUGGGAUGUAACCCCUCUCGGACCACCCCACCUACAGACUCCGCCCGGGGCCGAGGGCGGGCGGGGCGCGGGAACCACGAGCUGUCAGAAGCCUAGUUUUCCACAUGACGAAGCUCCUUCACUCUUAAACAUCCCCACUCACCCUCAGCCUAGUUUCAAGCUGAAUCACGCUUAAAACGAGAGGAGGGGAGUGUUAAGUUUUCUUCCUAAUUAGCAAAAAAAAAAAAAAGACCCAGCUCUACUCAUCCACUAGCUUUAGGCUCCCCACAUCGUCCCACCAAAUACAGACUUAAUAGAAAUGCCCACCGCACACCUGCUACGUAACCUGCUCUCUGGAAACCUGGUGACCCAUCCAGCCUGGGCCUGGGGUGGGACGAGAGCGAUACCAUCCGGUACCCUAAAGUAAGGGAAUGAGAGGGACAGGCAUCCCCCCACCGGGAGCGCUGUCCGCCUGUUUCCCCAGCUCCAGUGCAAUCCAAGGCAUCCUUCGUCCAUCCAGGCGAAAAGAGGGAGGCAGCCAAAGGCUGGAGUGCCCGCGGUGUUUUUCCCUUUGAGAACCCAGACGCGGCGUCCUCGAGCGAGACGCAAGGGGGGAAAUGAUGCACAUGUAUAUUUGUGGAGCAUAUUCUUCUAGAAUUUCCCUUUGAUCAUCACGAGGAGCGACGGCGGCCCCGGAGACAGGUGCAGUGCUGGCCGAGGCAGCCGGCUAAAAGUUGCUCCCUUCGGGUGGCGGCAGAUCCCCGGCCGGGCCUGAGGACCCCGGCUCCCUGCCCCCCGGUGUCGCCCCCUUCUCCGCCCGGCUGCUGCGUGCGGCUCCGCAGCAGGGGAGGUGGCGUAGUUUCUCUUCCUCCCACCUCUUCUCACUCACUUGUUUCCGUAGCCGUGGGCUCCCUAAUGCUUUCCUCUCCACAAUGUUGUUUCAUUAUAUCAUGUCCAUCAUGUGACACCGGAGAGGCCUCUCUAUGGAAACUUAAAGGGGCUCCCACGUGACUGCAGCCGCAACGGCAGCAGCGGCGGGACUGGCGGCGGCUGCGCCCCGUACCACCCACCGAGAGCCCCUCGCGGCGCCGAGCCGGGAGCCGCAGCAUCCGGGAGCCGCGGCGUCGGUGCGUGCGUGGGGCCUGCGCUCCAUACAGAGCGCCCAGAGCAGAAGGCGCGUCCUCGAGUCCUUAAGUCACUGAGCCCACGCUCUGCUAACGUGACAUUUCGUGGCUCCUACUUUAUUUUCCCCAAGAGCAAUGAGUUUUCUAUCAAGUCUGAUUAAUUUUUACAAAGUUAAAAAGAAAAACUGGAUGCGUUCCUCUGCGAGUUCCGCCAGCUCUUGCGUAGAGCAGAAAUGACAAAACAAUAACCACAGAAAUAGCAUCAGGCAUUUGAUACAUAAUUACCAUCACCACCAGCUUUAAAGCUUUCUGGAAUCACAUUCCUCCGGUAACUGUUGAUGAUGCUUGCAGGAGGCAAAAUGCAAUGCAGUUUUUCUAUUCCGCAGCUAUAUUAGGGAUUUGUUGCUGACAACAGUAAAAAGUUGUUUGUGUCAGGAAGUGAGGUACGAAGAUACGACCUAGAAGGUACAGACAAAACCAAAGUGGCAGUUUUUGCUUUACUUUUCUGACCACAUUCUAUAAAAUGGUGAGAAACAGCUGGUUUGCUAUAAAAUGCAUAGAAAUAUGUUUGGUGGAAAAAUAGAGAAACACAUUUUUUCCCUUAAUCAUACCAUACAUGCUAGACACUAUACAUCAUAUCUAUUCAUAUAUAUGUGCAUAUAGAGAGAAAUAAAAGCAUGUGCAUUUUUGCGUUA
Manis javanica (Malayan pangolin) is the source of this 2232-nucleotide non-coding RNA. Lineage: Eukaryota; Metazoa; Chordata; Mammalia; Pholidota; Manidae. The record is from RefSeq and is a predicted model, not a curated record.